This is a long non-coding RNA of Salvia miltiorrhiza (redroot sage), 418 nucleotides long. RefSeq lists it as uncharacterized. NCBI's taxonomy places the organism in Eukaryota, Viridiplantae, Streptophyta, Magnoliopsida, Lamiales, Lamiaceae. The record is from RefSeq and is a predicted model, not a curated record. The transcript has 2 exons.
UUGAAUAACAUUUUGUCUAAAAUUUUUGUAGUAUUUUUACUGAAAUUUGACCUAUAUCUUCUAAGAUAUGAAAUUUGACCUUUAUAUAUCCAACAAUGCAGAUGAUUCGCGCAAGCUUCAUCACAUCUGGCAUUGCUCUCAGCUGUUAGGGCUCGAGUUGAAUGGUGCAAAUAAUCAAAGGAUUUUGACUCCAGAAUAUACUGCUGAUAGAGAUCUUGUAGACUUGUUUGGUGUGGAUUCUCUUGAUGAGUUUCAGACUUUAAGAGGGCAAUAGACAACAAGAAAUCAGUUCCAACUUGUCAUAUUUUGAUCAUUAAUAGUCCCUUCUUUUUAUCAUUGCUUUGUAUACCAAUGCAUUUUAUCGUCAUCUAUUGUUGUAAAGAACAUGUGUGCUUCCUGAACAUAUGUUUUGUACAGA